Molecule: ribosomal RNA, 369 nt
Filed under: uncultured bacterium
Lineage: Bacteria
Description: bacterial SSU rRNA
Rfam family: Bacterial small subunit ribosomal RNA
Source: RNAcentral
GUAGGGUGCAAGCGUUAAUCGGAAUUACUGGGCGUAAAGCGUACGCAGGCGGCUUUGCAAGACAGGUGUGAAAUCCCCGGGCCUAACCUGGGAACUGCAUUUGUGACUGCAUGGCUAGAGUCUGUCAGAGGGGGGUGGAAUUCCACGUGUAGCAGUGAAAUGCGUAGAGAUGUGGAAGAACACCGAUGGCGAAGGCAGCCCCCUGGGAUGAGACUGACGCUCAUGUACGAAAGCGUGGGGAGCAAACAGGAUUAGAUACCCUGGUAGUCCACGCCCUAAACGAUGUCUACUAGUUGUCGGAGGGUAACUCCUUCGGUAACGCAGCUAACGCGUGAAGUAGACCGCCUGGGGAAUACGGUCGCAAGAUUA